Long non-coding RNA from Harmonia axyridis, 576 nucleotides. RefSeq lists it as uncharacterized. The record is from RefSeq and is a predicted model, not a curated record. The transcript is spliced from 2 exons. NCBI's taxonomy places the organism in Eukaryota, Metazoa, Arthropoda, Insecta, Coleoptera, Coccinellidae.
AAUUGAACACUGCUCUGCUAGGUGAAGUAUAUAAUUUUUGUUGAAAAUUCAGACGAUUUAUCUAGGUGAGAGCAGCAAUGGACCUCGAUAACACUGUUUUAAUGAGGCGAACCAAUUCGAUCUGAAUCGGGGAGAUUUUCAAGGAAAAUAAGUUUCUUGCUACAGGAGAUACAUUCAAGAGUAUAUCCUUCAGCUACAGGAUGGGAAGAAGCACAGAUGCAUCCAUUGUUCAUCAAACGAGCAUAGCAGUAAUUGAAGUACUUUUGAACAAAGUUAUGCCAGAAAUUGACCGACCAGCAAAGGAUUUGCUGAUUUACGGAUUGAGUAAAGUUAGGAGGAUAUCUGAAAAUGUGUUCGACACUUUGUUGCAAAAAUUUCGAAUGUUCUUUAGGCCUUCCCAGGGAAAUCCUGAUAACAUAACGAGAAUUAUCCUUCUAUUUAUACUAACAGCAAUGUAAUUUAUUAUUUCAUUUCGAAAAUACUUGAUUUUUUGUACUCAAUUCUCACUCAUAUAUAUAUUUCACGUACUCCGUUUUAAGAUUAUACCUACAAUAAAUUUAGAUAUUUAUGGUCUUA